This 73-nucleotide transfer RNA is filed under the name Gemmatimonadota bacterium. Its description in RNAcentral is "Gemmatimonadetes bacterium tRNA-Gln". It matches the Rfam family "tRNA". From Rfam's summary of the family: Transfer RNA (tRNA) molecules are approximately 80 nucleotides in length. Lineage: Bacteria; Pseudomonadati; Gemmatimonadota. The record is from RNAcentral. RNAcentral also lists the same sequence under 4 other names.
UGGCCCGUGGUGUAAUUGGCAACACGCCUGACUCUGGAUCAGGAGAGUCCAGGUUCGAUCCCUGGCGGGCCAA